RNAcentral lists this long non-coding RNA (482 nucleotides) under Theobroma cacao (cacao). RNAcentral's name for it is "long non-coding RNA (TCAC_LNC005803)". Lineage: Eukaryota; Viridiplantae; Streptophyta; Magnoliopsida; Malvales; Malvaceae. The record is from RNAcentral.
AGAUGACCAGAUGCUUAAACAUGGUGCUUUUAGGUAUAGCAUGAAGCAUGCGAAGAUGAAUGAGUAGUCUAGAGAGGAUUCAUCACCCCGAGUGAUUUGAAGGAGACAUAUCUCAUUUGCUCAUAGCUUAUAUUGAUUAAAAGUCCUUAGCCAAGGCAAUCUUGAUAGGUCAAUAUAGAAGCUGUAGGACUAAUAUGGAUAAGUUAGAAAGUAGACACCGAGCCAGGCUUUUUAUUUAUCUGGGAUAUAUGAUGAAAGGAUUGAUUUACAUUGAGAUACUGUACACUGAAAGGUUAGUCAAAUCAUAUUGACUCUCUUGACAUUUGGAUGGUCAUGAUGUAUUGCUAAAUGCCAUUCAUAAUUUAUAAAUAUAAAUAUAAAUUCUUAAUUGAAUUAAUUUAUAUUUAUUGCUAACAUGUUGGGAACCUAAUGGGUCACACACAUAAGGUGAAUUGUUGAAAUUAAUUUGAGUUCAAUUGGAU